AGGGGUAGAUGGGUGGCCGCUUCGCACAGGCGGAGAGGAAAGUCCGGGCAUCAACGGGCAGGAUGAUCCCUAACAGGGACUGGGGGUAACCCUAAGGAAAGUGCAACAGAAAAUACACCGCCACCCGCCUCUGGCGGGAGUGAAGAGUUGGAAAUGAUCGGUUAGAAGGGAAAGCCCUUCGCACCAGACUUCAAACUGCCAACUCCCAACGCUGAAAUGUAUGUUUCGGUUGGUAAGGGUGAAAUGGUGAGGUAAGAGCUCACCAGUUCCGUGGUGACACGGAAGCUUGGCAAACCCCAUCUGAUGCAAGGCCAAAAAGGGGGCUGUUGGAAACAGCGGCGAGGAUUGCCCAUCCUUUAACCCGGGUAGGCCGCAAGAGGUUUAGAGUAAUCUAAACCCACAGAGAAAUGGCCACCAUCCCGCAAUAUUGGGAGACAGAACCCGGCUUACAGUCUGCCCCUCUCC
Molecule: RNase P RNA, 465 nt
Filed under: Syntrophorhabdus sp.
Lineage: Bacteria; Pseudomonadati; Thermodesulfobacteriota; Syntrophorhabdia; Syntrophorhabdales; Syntrophorhabdaceae
Description: RNase P RNA component class A
Rfam family: Bacterial RNase P class A
About the family: Ribonuclease P (RNase P) is a ubiquitous endoribonuclease, found in archaea, bacteria and eukarya as well as chloroplasts and mitochondria. Its best characterised activity is the generation of mature 5'-ends of tRNAs by cleaving the 5'-leader elements of precursor-tRNAs.
Source: RNAcentral